UGGGGAAUAUUGCACAAUGGGGGAAACUCUGAUGCAGCGACGCCGCGUGAACGAAGAAGGCAUUCGUAUCGUAAAGUUCUGUCUUAAGGGAAGAUAAAGACAGUACCAUAGAAGACAGCUCAGGCUAAUUCCGUUCCAGCAGCCCAGGCUACAUGUAUGGAGCGAGCGUUGUCCGGAAUUACUGGGCGUAAAGGGGACGUAGGCGGUUUAAUAAGUCAAAUGUUAAAGACCGGGGCUCAACCCCGAUAAGCAGUGGAAACUGAUAAACUUGAGUAGUGGAGAGGAAAGUGGAAUUCCUAGUGUAGUGGUGAAAUGCGUAGAUAUUAGGAGGAAUGCCAGUUGCGAAGGCGACUUUCUGGACACAAACUGACGCUGAGGUACGAAAGCGUGGGGAGCGAACAGG
This 403-nucleotide ribosomal RNA is filed under the name bacterium. Its description in RNAcentral is "partial 16S ribosomal RNA". It matches the Rfam family "Bacterial small subunit ribosomal RNA", at positions 355 to 776 of the family's 1533-position model. The record is from RNAcentral.